Molecule: ribosomal RNA, 682 nt
Filed under: Oenococcus oeni
Lineage: Bacteria; Bacillati; Bacillota; Bacilli; Lactobacillales; Lactobacillaceae
Description: bacterial LSU rRNA
Rfam family: Bacterial large subunit ribosomal RNA
Source: RNAcentral
GCGAUGAAGGACGUGACUAACUACGAUAUGCCUCGGUUAGCUGUAAGUAAGCUUACCCGGGGGUUUCCGAAUGGGGCAACCCGAUCUUAAUGAUCAUCAUCUUUUUGAAUUCAUAGAUUAGAUGAAGCAAACGCUGUGAACUGAAACAUCUAAGUAGCAGUAGGAAAGUAAAGAAAUUUCGAUUCCGUCAGUAGCGGCGAGCGAACGCGGAAGAGCCCAAACCUGGAUGCUUGCAUCCAGGGGUUGUAGGACUGAUGUUGAGUUACAAAGGUAUAAGAUAGCAGAAACAGUUGGGAAGCUGUUCCAAAGAGGGUGACAGGCCCGUAUGCGAAAUCUUGUACUCUCUAAUCAGGAUCCUGAGUACGGCCCAGCACGUGAAAUUGGGUCGGAAUCUGGGAGGACCAUCUCCCAAGGCUAAAUACUAACUAGUGACCGAUAGCGAACAAGUACCGUGAGGGAAAGGUGAAAAGAACCCCGGAAGGGGAGUGAAAUAGUUCUUGAAACCGUGUGCUUACAAGAAGUUCGAGGCCGUUAAUGGCUGAGAGCGUGCUUUUUGUAGAAUGAACCGGAGAGUUACGAUUGCGUGCAAGGUUAAGGUGCAAAGACUGGAGCCGUAGCGAAAGCGAGUCUUAAUAGGGCGAAUCAGUACGUAGUUGUAGACCCGAAACCGAGUGACCUAUCC